This 400-nucleotide unclassified non-coding RNA is filed under the name uncultured fungus. Its description in RNAcentral is "sequence contains ITS1". The stretch from base 1 to 105 matches the Rfam family "5.8S ribosomal RNA", at positions 50 to 154 of the family's 154-position model. The record is from RNAcentral. Lineage: Eukaryota; Fungi.
AAAGCGCGAUAGGUAAUGCGAAUUGCAGAAUUCAGUGAAUCAUCAAAUCUUUGAACGCAACUUGCGCUCUUGGGUAGCCCCAUGAGCAUGCUUUGUUGAGUGUCGUCUUCACAACACAUCGUCUGCGUUCUGAUUUUUUUCAGAAACGUUUUGACGGAUACUGAGUGUCUCGUGAAUUCGAAAUCGAGUCAUUUCAAAUCGAUGGCAUAAAUUCAAGCACCCGCCAUAGUUGAAUGAAUCUUUCAACUAGUCUGAUAAUAGACUUUUUGUCUAACUUUUAUAUCGACUAGGAGUUCAUUCAAUUGGGAGCAUGAUUUAUGCUUUCAAGGAAAAAACAAGAAAUAAUUUCGGUUAUUUCUCUGAAACUUGACCUCAACUAAAGCAAGAGAACCCGCCGAAU